GAUGAAGAACGCAGCGAACUGCGAUAAGUAGUGUGAAUUGCAGAAUUCAGUGAAUCAUCGAAUCUUUGAACGCACAUUGCGCCCUUUGGUAUUCCUUAGGGCAUGCCUGUUCGAGCGUCAUUUAAACCUUCAAGCUAAGCUUGGUGUUGGGUGACUGUCCGCUUCACGGCGGACUCGCCUCAAAAUUAUUGGCGGCCGGUACAUUGGCUUCGAGCGCAGCAGAAACGCGAACUCGGGCCCGUCGUAUUGGCUCCCAGAAGCUAUCUUCACAAUUUUGACCUCGGAUCAGGUAGGGAUACCCGCUGAACUUAAGCAUAUCAAUAAGCGGAGGA
This 332-nucleotide unclassified non-coding RNA is filed under the name soil metagenome. RNAcentral describes it as "partial contains 5.8S ribosomal RNA, internal transcribed spacer 2, and large subunit ribosomal RNA". The stretch from base 1 to 120 matches the Rfam family "5.8S ribosomal RNA", at positions 35 to 154 of the family's 154-position model. The record is from RNAcentral.